UACGGAGGGGGCGAGCGUUAUUCGGAAUUAUUGGGCGUAAAGGGCGCGUAGGCGGCUUUGCAAGUCAAAGGUGAAAUCCCUCGGCUCAACUGAGGAACUGCCUUUGAAACUGUGAGGCUUGAGUCCGGGAGGGGGUAGCGGAAUUCCCAGUGUAGCGGUGAAAUGCGUAGAUAUUGGGAGGAACACCAGUGGCGAAGGCGGCUACCUGGACCGGAACUGACGCUGAUGCGCGAAAGCGUGGGUAGCAAACAGG
RNAcentral lists this ribosomal RNA (253 nucleotides) under uncultured bacterium. RNAcentral's name for it is "partial 16S ribosomal RNA". It matches the Rfam family "Bacterial small subunit ribosomal RNA", at positions 524 to 776 of the family's 1533-position model. The record is from RNAcentral.